ACAUUUUCAUCGCCUUUUGGCCUAGAUCAAGUGUAGCAUCUGUCCCCCAGCGGGGGACUACAUAUUAAGCAGAGUUCUAUAACUCGGCAAAGGGGCUUGUUCCUUCCGCUCCACGCAUCCACCCAGUAUUGCAGUGCCUCUGGGAGCGGUGCACUUCCU
Molecule: small nuclear RNA, 159 nt
Gene: U2
Rfam family: U2 spliceosomal RNA
About the family: U2 is a small nuclear RNA (snRNA) component of the spliceosome (involved in pre-mRNA splicing). Complementary binding between U2 snRNA (in an area lying towards the 5' end but 3' to hairpin I) and the branchpoint sequence (BPS) of the intron results the bulging out of an unpaired adenosine, on the BPS, which initiates a nucleophilic attack at the intronic 5' splice site, thus starting the first of two transesterification reactions that mediate splicing.
Source: Ensembl